RNAcentral lists this long non-coding RNA (653 nucleotides) under Homo sapiens (human). RNAcentral describes it as "non-protein coding lnc-IFT46-1:24". Lineage: Eukaryota; Metazoa; Chordata; Mammalia; Primates; Hominidae. The record is from RNAcentral.
GCGGGCGUCGUCGUCUCGGCCCUGCAGCCGCGCCAGGAGUCCGCGCUGCACAAAGCUCUGGCGGGCGGCGCGGCCCCGGCCGCCGCUCAGCUCCACCGCGCGUUCCAGAUCCUCCAGGGCGCCUGCGGGACCGACGAGACGGGCGGGGCGGGGGUCAGCGGAGGCCAGGGCGGCCUUGCCCGAGCCCCAGCCCACCUGCGGCCGCGCGGAUCACCGUGGUUCUUGCGGCUCCCGGGCGUGGCCAUUUACAACCCGCCUCGCACCUGCUAGAGAAAAGACCCCGGCCAUGGAUGGGAGACCUAGGACAAAGAUGGAAAAGAGGUCAGACACAAAUUUUGCAAUGCUUGGCACCAGACAGCUGCUCAAUGAGGAACACAACUGCAUCAUGGAGAAUCCCCAGCAUCCUCAAACCGUUAACACCUAGAAGAAUCAGAAGCACCAGGGAAGUGAGGAGCGCAGUCAACAGGAAACAGCAUGGUCCUACAGAAAUGCCUAUGCUAUAGUCACUCUGCCAGAGGCUGCUCCAGGGUGAAUUAUAGUACAUAUUAGCUCGAAAUUAGCAUCAGAUAGCCAUUAAAAUGAUGCUGAUACAGAUCUAUCAAUAUGGAAAAUGUUUGUGAUAGACGGCUAAGUGAAAAAAGCAUGCCACCAAA